UGCAAAUUGCAGCAUCAUCUAUUACUGAGCACUUCAUAUCAUAUGUGUUUGUUAGGUGACGCAGGAGAGGGCGGUGCUCGAUCGGCUGGAUUGUUAAGGAAAGGAGUUAGUUUAGCGCGUAAACGAUGGCAAGGACAAUGACGCAUCAAAGAAAAUGCCAAGAACAAACAAAGAAUGUGCAGGCAAGCGACAGACUUACAUACGCAGCGGCCAAACAAAUAUUUCUUCUGCCUUGCAGCCGGACCGAUCGACGAAGACUCCGUCAAAUCCUGGCGAGAUUUCCAGCGAGAAAACCCGAUUCGCUACGAACCUGUGAAGCCAGAGAAGAGAAUGCGGCCCGCCGGAUGGAACGCCGCUCACCAAUGAUUCGUGAUCGGAGAAAGAAAUGGAUGCCUGAAUCAUGAGCGGCCAUAAAUUUCCAAGCUUAAUGUCCAUUACGAUCCGGCGCAGCUCUUACCUAACAGAGAGGAGAAAGCGAGCGAGAAAUCGAGCCGAUCGCUCGCAGCAACGCGAUUCCGGGAUUAGGGCUCCUCAAAAACCACUGACUAUCC
RNAcentral lists this long non-coding RNA (551 nucleotides) under Selaginella moellendorffii. RNAcentral's name for it is "long non-coding RNA (SMOE_LNC000017)". Lineage: Eukaryota; Viridiplantae; Streptophyta; Lycopodiopsida; Selaginellales; Selaginellaceae. The record is from RNAcentral.